UAUAAUCGUAUGCUCAAUCUAAUGAGCAUAAGUUGUUUGGGGCAUUACUGGUUACCUAGAACUUUUUGUCACAUCAGAUCUCCUUCCAUGAUGUCAUGUAAGACAAACUGCACCAUGAGAAAAGGCAUAUAAUAAAUUACAAUAUUCUGGACAACAUAUUAACAAUUAUCUUACUUACACUAUCUGGCACCCAAAGACUGUUAUUUUGUAAAGCAUAUGUUUUAGAAUUAUUCCAACUAAAAAGAACUCUUGCCAAGCUCUCCAUUAACCUCUACUGGAUAACCAUAAUUAUCUGUCCUCCAGACUAAAUACAUACACCAGACUGACUAUAAGGUAAUGUGUAAUUGACCACCUUGAUUGCUGUACUCUGUAAAUAAGAGAACUCUCUAUUUUUACUGUAUCUAUAUAGUAUAGUAGUUCUUAUGACCACUAGUACUCUUGAGGUAGAACAGGUGUUUCCAUUGUGUAUUCAGCAUUUUACCUCAUGUAAAACACAUUUUUAAGUUAACACAUGUAUACAUCACAGAAGGAGCUUGACAUUCCUAGUUGGUUAAUAAUAACCAAUCAUUCUUCAUCGGGUUGUCCAGCAUUUCGAUUGGGUGGAACGUGAAUCAUUAAGCAGUUCAGUGAGGAUUCCUGACCUGUUAAAAUGGUAAUAAAUCCAAAGGAUUUUCAGACCGGACAGGGACCAACAUUUUUUAAAAAAUAGGGCGUGCACCCUGCACAUAGGCUGCUAAUUGGACAGCCCAGGUCAAACAUAUGAUUGUCCAUUAUUGGUAUGUCAGCUAAGUUUUAUUGCAGUUCAGCACUGUGAGUUGAGGACUGAAAUGCACAUUCCAUUUUAUCCUCUUAAUUUUGUCUUUCUAAAAUAAUUAGUUUAAUAAUUAAAUAAUGCUUAACCCAACCCCUAGUAUUGUUUUGUGAUAGUGUGAUGUAUUUUGUUACUUGGCGUUUUUAACGAGGACUGUAGACCCAGACUCUAAAGCAAAAUAAUAGAUCUGAAUGCUAGGUUAUGUUAUGUUUCGGUAAUAUCCCUCAAGUGACCAGUACAGUAAAAUAAUAAGAGUGAGCUUCAUCAAGGUUUAAACAGGUGCAAUUCUUGUGCAAAGUAUCACAAGGAGAGCAGCUGUUUAAUGUGAGAGGAUUUGUAACAGUGGGGGAGAUGUAUAAAUGAUACCAUCAUUUCAAGGAUGAAGCACCCAUUUGGUCACAUUUGCAUAUUUACACUAUAGAGAGAGAGGCAUGUGAUUGGAUUUUAUAUAGGAAAACAUGAGCACAAUUGCAACAUUUUUACUGUAUCAAUAAUGCCAGAUAGAUGACACAGUAUUCUAGUGUUAAACAGUCAAUUAAAAGUGCCACCCAUUUAUAUCAGUUAGUCUAGUGAGCGUAAUAAAUGUCUUAUCACGCCAGUUUGCUGCUCUUUCUCUAUUAAGUGGAGGAACAUUUUUAGAAGAGGAGAAAUGGUGUCUGGCUGACAGUAACCAAAGGAAGAAAGCAUGCUAAAAUAUAACUUUUAUUUUCACUAAAAUCCCAUUUCAUAAAUAACUGUCAAAUACAGUGUUACCAAUGGAAGACCUAUAUGUAAAAAUAAAGAUACUUCAGUAGACAAAGUGCAUACAGUACAUUCAAGUAUUCCAGAAGAGUAAGUGAUACAGUGACAGAGUGCAGAAGUUUAACCCCUUACGGACCAAACUUCUGGAAUAAAUGGAAAUCAUGACAUGUCACACAUGUCAUGUGUCCUUAAGGGUUUAAAAGCGAUCACUCAAACUAAUCAGUCGUCCUUAUAACUGGAUUUCAGUGUAUCUAUCAAUUCUCCUGUUUAACUGUAUUCUUAACACCCAACACUAGGGGGUUCUUAAUAUCAAUAACAAGCAAAUUAAGUUUAAAUUCUUCUUUUGUAUAAUUAAAUGCAUGCACGUUUUCAAGGUAUCUUUAUAUAUUUAGGACUAAUAGUAAUUUAUGAAAUGGGAUUUUAGUGACCUAACACACGUUAUGUAUUAACAUGUUGUCUUUGCUUUUACUGUCAUUCGGCCGCUACAAUCAUUUUCUCGUCGUCUGCAAGAACCGAGGGCUGAACAACUUCUUUGUUAUGUUAGAGGAAAUGUUUUGAUUUACACCCAUAGUGCCCUGCUGAUAUUCCUAAACAAUAACAUAUUAUUUACUUGCUGAUGAGUUUUUUUUUCUAUCAGUAAUUAUUUCACAGAUAUCUGCAGACAUAAAUUGUUUCAUUGUGAAAAGAAGUGCAUUUAACACACACUUUUAUACAUCAGCCCCAUUGUAUGCAAAACAGUCUAAUUUGCUUUAUUACAUUCAUACACCAGAAGAUUGCACCUGCACACAUUAUACAAUGUCUGGUCCUUUGACCCUUGCCCAUCGGUGAUGUUUCAUCAAGCACAUCAGCUAAAAUCCCUGAUUUAAAGUAACCACAAACGGGCAAGUCCUGAUUUACAGUCAAUAUUGUUUUUGUUCUUUUUUAAUAGCAAAACUGAUGUCCUGAACUUAACUUCAGUCUGUUAUUUACAAACGCCACAUCAACAUCUUGCCAAAUCGCACCAAUGGAUUACUUGGUCACAUGAUCUAAAUGCAUCAAAUUGCUAGAAAACAUUAAUAUUGUAACAUUAAAAUCACACCAAUGCUGCUCAUGUAGAAGACCAUACCUCCCCUUUAAUGGGGGAUGCUUGUCCUAGGUACCUUCUGCAGACUGUGGAACUGCACAAUGCAUGUUCCAUAUUCACCCCAAGAAGUAGGUACGGUAUGAUCACCUACAUUUUUUACAUGAUUUAAAUUGUAACAUCCAUGUUAUUUAGGGUUUGCA
This is a non-coding RNA of Pelobates cultripes (western spadefoot toad), 2815 nucleotides long. Lineage: Eukaryota; Metazoa; Chordata; Amphibia; Anura; Pelobatidae. The record is from the annotation of a GenBank genome assembly.